This 127-nucleotide small nucleolar RNA is filed under the name Dasypus novemcinctus (nine-banded armadillo). RNAcentral's name for it is "Small nucleolar RNA SNORA31 (ENSDNOG00000030004.1)". The record is from RNAcentral. Lineage: Eukaryota; Metazoa; Chordata; Mammalia; Cingulata; Dasypodidae.
CAUCUCUGACAAACCUGGAGUAGUUAAUAUCUGCUACUAAGGUUGCUACUACAGACUUAAGAAAAAGAAGGUCCUCACAUCUGUCUGUCUGGUUGUGGCAGCCAAGGUUGAAUGGGGGAACACAAGA